RNAcentral lists this ribosomal RNA (253 nucleotides) under uncultured bacterium. RNAcentral's name for it is "partial 16S ribosomal RNA". It matches the Rfam family "Bacterial small subunit ribosomal RNA", at positions 524 to 776 of the family's 1533-position model. The record is from RNAcentral.
UACGAAGGGGGCUAGCGUUGUUCGGAUUUACUGGGCGUAAAGCGCACGUAGGCGGAUUGUUAAGUUAGAGGUGAAAUCCCGGAGCUCAACUCCGGAACUGCCUUUAAUACUGGCGAUCUAGAGUCCGGAAGAGGUAAGUGGAACUCCUAGUGUAGAGGGGGAUGUCGUAGAUAUUAGGAAGAACACCAGUGGCGAAGGCGGCUUACUUGUCCGGCACUGACGCUGAGGUGCGAAAGCGUGGGGAGCAAACAGG